This 301-nucleotide ribosomal RNA is filed under the name uncultured bacterium. RNAcentral's name for it is "partial 16S ribosomal RNA". It matches the Rfam family "Bacterial small subunit ribosomal RNA", at positions 509 to 807 of the family's 1533-position model. The record is from RNAcentral.
CAGUCGCCACGGGAAUACGGAGGGUGCAAGCGUUAUCCGGAUUUAUUGGGUUUAAAGGGUCCGUAGGCGGACUUAUAAGUCAGUGGUGAAAGCCUGUCGCUUAACGAUAGAACUGCCAUUGAUACUGUAAGUCUUGAGUAUAUUUGAGGUAGCUGGAAUAAGUAGUGUAGCGGUGAAAUGCAUAGAUAUUACUUAGAACACCAAUUGCGAAGGCAGGUUACCAAGAUAUAACUGACGCUGAGGGACGAAAGCGUGGGUAGCGAACAGGAUUAGAGACCCCCGUAGUCCCUGUCUCUUAUAC